This is an RNA transcript of Oncorhynchus gorbuscha (pink salmon), 2372 nucleotides long. It is a transcript of the gene named rab5 GDP/GTP exchange factor-like, with no coding region annotated. The record is from RefSeq and is a predicted model, not a curated record. The transcript is spliced from 6 exons. NCBI's taxonomy places the organism in Eukaryota, Metazoa, Chordata, Actinopteri, Salmoniformes, Salmonidae.
GCCACAGCCAGUGGCUACUAAGGGUAGCUCGUCCGAGGACACUGAAAAAAUGCAGCCAGCCAGCUCUACUGAGUUUCCUCCAUACAGGCAGCGAGAUGAGUCAGCGGAGAGCGCGCCGCGGGAUCCACAUGGACCAGUCGGAGCUGCUCUGCAACAAGGGCUGUGGUUACUAUGGCAACGCGACCUAGCAGGGCCUGUGCUCCAAGUGCUGGCGGGAAGAGUGCCAGCGAGCUCAACAGAAGCAGAUCCAGGAAGACUGGGCCCUGGCUGUGAAAUGCAUAGACCUGGCCACUCAGAACAGGAUACGGGCGUUACACUGGGUGGACAUUCAGAUGCUCUGUAUGCCAGUGGAUGAGGAGAUCCCAGCGGUGUCAGACAACGUGGUCAAAGCCAUAACAGACAUCAUCGAGAUGGACUCUAAGCAGGUACCAAGAGAGAGCUAGCGUGCAUCACGCGCUGCAGCAAGCACAUCUUUAGCGCCAUCAAGAUCACCAAAAGCGAGCCAGCCUCGGCAGACAACUUCCUACCCACCCUAAUCUACAUCGUACAGAAAUCCAAUCCACCAUGCCUGCAAUCCAACAUCCAGUACAUCACCCGCUUCUGCAACCCCAGCAGGCUCGUGAAUGGAGAGGACGGAUACUACUUCACUAACCUGAUACGUUGCUGUGCAGUUGCCUUCAUUGAAAACCUGGACGCCCAGUCCCACAACUUGGACCCUGUGGACUUUGAGAGCUACAUGUUGGGCCAGGCCUUCCCUUGCAGGCCAGAGGUGGACAGUGGCUGGCCACAGAUUGACACUGCCGCUUCCAUACCCGCUCUGGCCCAGGUCAACCAGAAUCUGGAUCUCCUGUCAGGCCUGCGGAGCCGGCAGGAAAGGGUUUGGGAGGUGGCGCAGAGCAUGCAGAGUGACCUGAUCACCUGGCAGGAGAGUGUAGAGCGAGAGGUGCAGGAAAUCCUGGAGAAGUACCUGUUGGAGAUCAGCCCACCUUCCCUCUCUGCCAUCGACUCAGACAACAUGGAAAACGACCGGCUGCCACUGACGCCCCAGGUGUUUGCUGGGUAAUAUCUCUCCAGAAUGGGAGGCAAGAGGGCUUCUUGAACUAAUGAUCCUGCCUCUCUGUAAUGCUUUGAGCCGUCAUUGGUCUUUACUAUGGCGAGGUUCAGGAAUUGGCAGCCCCCUCGUGUCUAUACUGCUACCAUUUUAAACAUUCACAAACAUUAAGCCAAGUAGGCUUUUGUCCAUUUUUCCCCUAGACCCAAAAGCAUUCAUAGAUCUAAAUUAAUAGAUAAAAGGAAGGACUAAGUUUGAGGAAAAGAGUUAAGGGACCUUUAAUGGAACCAAGUCUUUACAAUGUUCCUGCAUACACAUACUCCUUUUAGACUAGCCCUCUUCAGAUCAGAUGGCCUGAGUUGGCAUUGGGCCCUAAUCUGUACUCCUCUACAUCCCUGCUGCACUGACACAGAUGGCACACCUUGAUACCGUAAGAUAACUUCUCCACCUUGUCGUGCUGAGGAAAGAGAUGCAUGUUACUUUUAGAUGGCUGCUGGUGAAUUUGGGAAAUGCUGACUAACAUUUAGUUAUUCUUCAGAUAGAGUGGUACAUGUUACAAACUGUGAAACCUAAAGAGUGACCAAGACUCAAGUUACUGUGUUAUGUACAAAAUGACAGUGAACUGCUGAUAUGGAUUGUGGCAUGUUGUGCAUCAUAGAAGUAAUUGUGAAAGAUGGAUGAUACCUGGGGAAGAUGGAUGAUACCUGGGGAAUGUUCAGAAAGGUGAAAUGCUCAGAUCAAUGCAGAUAAUUUUGUAUAUUUUAAGGAACACUUAACAGUUCAAUUGGAUUACAGCAUGAUAUUUACUCUUACUACAUGCCUUUUCUAUCUGCAAUCCAUUGAACAUUUAAAUCACCUGAAUAAACCCCAGGUUGUAAUACUUCAACAUCACUCACUCUGCUGUCACACAGACAUAUGUACUCUACUUUAACACUGUAAUCAACUGUGACUCACUGCUGAGUCUCUAAAAGAUUUGUAAAUAAGUGUGUGUAUAUUUGUCAACUUUUAAACUGAAUGGCACAUCACUAUUUUAUUAUGGAAAUGUAAUUUAUAAGAAUUGCCUUGUUUUACAGUGUGUAUUUAAUUGCUGUUCAAUGAAUAAACCCCAGGAAUGCAAAUCUAGUGGGGGUUUUUCCUCCUGCCUCACACCAUUUCCACCCAUACUGCUGAUGUUCUGCUUGGUCAAAAUCCCAUCUGGUUCGCGCUUACUGGGAUUAUAAUUUGCAUAUGUGUGAACUCCUUCAAGACAGUUGGAAAAGCAUUCCUCAUGAAGCUGGUUGUGAGAAUGUCAAGAGUGUGCAAAUCUGUAAUCGGGGCAAAG